GUGCUUGCUUUGGCAGUACAUACACUAAAAUUGGAAUGAUACAGAGAAGAUUAGCAUGGCUCCUGUGGAAGGAUGACAAAUUCAUGAAGGAUUUCAUUAAAAA
Molecule: small nuclear RNA, 103 nt
Organism: Pongo abelii (Sumatran orangutan)
Lineage: Eukaryota; Metazoa; Chordata; Mammalia; Primates; Hominidae
Source: Ensembl